UCUUCUGGAAAACGGGUGGUAAUGCCGGAUGCUCCAGCUGAUUGCAUGGUGUGUCUGGGAAAGCCUUUGCGGCAUGGGAUGGGGUCGCGUCCUAUCAGCUUGAUGGCGGGGUAACGGCCCACCAUGGCUUCGACGGGUAGCCGGCCUGAGAGGGCGACCGGCCACAUUGGGACUGAGAUACGGCCCAGACUCCUACGGGAGGCAGCAGUGGGGAAUAUUGCACAAUGGGCGCAAGCCUGAUGCAGCGACGCCGCGUGAGGGAUGGAGGCCUUCGGGUUGUAAACCUCUUUUGUUAGGGAGCAAGGCAUUUUGUGUUGAGUGUACCUUUCGAAUAAGCACCGGCUAACUACGUGCCAGCAGCCGCGGUAAUACGUAGGGUGCAAGCGUUAUCCGGAAUUAUUGGGCGUAAAGGGCUCGUAGGCGGUUCGUCGCGUCCGGUGUGAAAGUCCAUCGCUUAACGGUGGAUCCGCGCCGGGUACGGGCGGGCUUGAGUGCGGUAGGGGAGACUGGAAUUCCCGGUGUAACGGUGGAAUGUGUAGAUAUCGAG
Molecule: ribosomal RNA, 547 nt
Filed under: Bifidobacterium breve
Lineage: Bacteria; Bacillati; Actinomycetota; Actinomycetes; Bifidobacteriales; Bifidobacteriaceae
Description: bacterial SSU rRNA
Rfam family: Bacterial small subunit ribosomal RNA
Source: RNAcentral